ACGCACGCUGGCGGCAUGCCUCACACAUGCAAGUCGAACGAGACCUUCGGGUCUAGUGGCGCACGGGUGCGUAACGCGUGGGAACCUGCCCUUAGGUUCGGAAUAACUCCCCGAAAGGGGUGCUAAUACCGGAUAAUGUCUUCGGACCAAAGAUUUAUCGCCUUUGGAUGGGCCCGCGUUGGAUUAGCUAGUUGGUAGGGUAAAAGCCUACCAAGGCGACGAUCCAUAGCUGGUCUGAGAGGAUGAUCAGCCACACUGGGACUGAGACACGGCCCAGACUCCUACGGGAGGCAGCAGUGGGGAAUAUUGGACAAUGGGCGAAAGCCUGAUCCAGCAAUGCCGCGUGAGUGAUGAAGGCCUUAGGGUUGUAAAGUUCUUUUACCCGGGAUGAUAAUGACAGUACCGGGAGAAUAAGCUCCGGCUAACUCCGUG
This 432-nucleotide ribosomal RNA is filed under the name uncultured bacterium. RNAcentral's name for it is "partial 16S ribosomal RNA". It matches the Rfam family "Bacterial small subunit ribosomal RNA", at positions 29 to 507 of the family's 1533-position model. The record is from RNAcentral.